UACGUAGGGCGCAAGCGUUUGUCCGGAAUUAUUGGGCGUAAAGAGCUCGUAGGCGGCCUGUUGCGUCCGCUGUGAAAUCCCGGGGCUCAACCCCGGGCGUGCAGUGGAUACGGGCUGGCUGGAGGCAGGCAGGGGAGAACGGAAUUCCUGGUGUAGCGGUGAAAUGCGCAGAUAUCAGGAGGAACACCGGUGGCGAAGGCGGGUCUCUGGGCCGAUACUGACGCUGAGGAGCGAAAGCGUGGGGAGCGAACAGG
Molecule: ribosomal RNA, 254 nt
Filed under: uncultured bacterium
Lineage: Bacteria
Description: partial 16S ribosomal RNA
Rfam family: Bacterial small subunit ribosomal RNA
Source: RNAcentral